Molecule: non-coding RNA, 1154 nt
Organism: Paramuricea clavata
Lineage: Eukaryota; Metazoa; Cnidaria; Anthozoa; Malacalcyonacea; Plexauridae
Source: the annotation of a GenBank genome assembly
AACCGACAGGAGCACAACUCAAAAGCGUAACGGUACCGCGAUUUAAGAUUUUCCUGAAUAAUUUUUAUAUUAUUUUAUUGUUUGUUAAUUUUACAACUUUACCAUAUUUUGCACUGGCGAACAUUUGGUGAAUAUUUGAUUCAAACGGACUGAUAUUGAACACUUCCGCCGUUAAUGUACAAUUAAAUUAAAUUAAAUUCCCAAAGCCAAAGGUAUAAUAAUAACGGACGAGAGUGAUUUCUAAAGGAAGACACUUUUGGGACACUUUGUAUAGAGACUCACUUCAAGAAAACUUUUAAACAGGGAAACGUUCUCUGAGCGUAUAAUGUUCGUAUUCCUUCCUCAUUCUGGACUAUAAGGAAAUCUCGCCCACUCUGGGUCCGUCCCUCCGCUGUAUUUCAGCGCUUUUACACAAUAGAAAAUGAGAGUGGUUUCAACUUUAUAUCCUGUUCUAGCUACGGAUGUACGUAAUUAGCUACAGACAUGACUCUUUAUGGAGAAUUGCUGAAUGCAGUUGCUGAACGGGACAGUUUUUAUUUUAGUGUCUGGCAGACCUUCAUAGACCUUGUUUGGGGAGAAAGCGUCGUUAACGGGAAGUCUUUUUCCCGCCCUAUACAGAUGCACUUUGGGUCGACUUAUGCCACGUGAUUGACUUGGUUUUAUCUCUAAUCGACUUUCCUUACUGAUGAGCUCCGUGUCUAACUGUCUGGUAACUUGCCGUCAGCCCAAUGCAUGCAUGGUAAACUGAAGCGAUCAGGGUAACAAUUGUUGAAUUGUUGAAUUCAGCGGAAUCCACAGACUUCGCUUGGUGCUAUCGUUAACCAACUUUUCCUCAAGUUAUCACAUGAAUGUGUUUGCCUCCUUUGUGUCAUAGAUUUGUUGAUGAUAUCGCAGCGAAGUGUAGAUUCCGCUGAAGAUGUCACUCAAUAAUUGUCAUCCAUCGGCGAAUGGCCAUCGCUUCUGUUUACAAUGGGGCUGGAGACGGAGGGCAAUUUACCAUCUUAGGUACGGAGGCCAUUAAUAAAGAAGGUCGAUUACUAGAGAUAAAACUCAAAUUAUCAAAUUAUUAUCGUUAUUACAUUAUGAUAGUCAUGUUGAUAUGAAGUACAAGAAUAUUUUGCAUUGUUAAUAAUGUAUAGUUCUCAUUUAGCCAG